GCUGCAGACUCUGCAGAAAAAAAUGUGUAGACUAGAUUGACAGUGUGUUGAAUGACUGUUUUAAUGGUGUUGGAUGUUUCACUAAUAGCUGCAGUGAUUAAACAUGAGUCGCUCAGAGGUCGUGAUCCAUCACUUAAUGUGAACAACACACACACACACAACUGCGAUACAGAAAAUAAUGACCAACUCUUUGUAUUAGGCCACAGACAUUGAUAUUGCAUCACCUGACCUCAAGUGACCUUUGACAGCCCGACACACUCACUGUCUCCCCUUGCUGGCUGUGACUGUACUGGAGAUGAAACUCCUCAGUGAUUCCUGUCUUUGUCUCUCUGUCUCUCUGUCUCUCAGUCUCUAUCAGCUGUAGCAGGUCUAAGCGCAAUCCUCAAGAGGCUCUACAGUUGCUGUCUUCAGCUCGACUCAGUUUGAAGAGCCUGGUCACCAAAGCCAAACAACUGUACACUGAUGUUGCCACAGGUGAACUCCAUGAUGACCUCAGAGGAGAUGUCACCGAGCUCCAGCAGCUCAUCACAGAGCUGCAGGACCUGAGUGCCCAGCUACGCAGCCAAUGAGAAGCCAUAGCUCUGUUCUUCUUCCCUUUGAUCCUGGAGGGCUUAGGUCUUCUGUCGCUUGUUAAAUCAAC
This is a long non-coding RNA of Sinocyclocheilus grahami, 640 nucleotides long. RefSeq lists it as uncharacterized. Lineage: Eukaryota; Metazoa; Chordata; Actinopteri; Cypriniformes; Cyprinidae. The record is from RefSeq and is a predicted model, not a curated record. The transcript has 2 exons.